This 271-nucleotide ribosomal RNA is filed under the name uncultured prokaryote. Its description in RNAcentral is "partial 16S ribosomal RNA". It matches the Rfam family "Bacterial small subunit ribosomal RNA", at positions 524 to 792 of the family's 1533-position model. The record is from RNAcentral.
UACGGAGGAUGCGAGCGUUAUCCGGAUUUAUUGGGUUUAAAGGGUGCGCAGGCGGGAGAUUAAGUCGGCGGUGAAAUUUUGCAGCUCAACUGUAAAAGUGCCUUCGAAACUGGUUUCCUUGAGUGUAGAUGAAGUAGGCGGAAUUUGUGGUGUAGCGGUGAAAAUGCAUAGAUAUCACGAGGAACUCCGAUUGCGCAGGCAGCUUACUAAACUACCACUGACGCUCAGGCACGAAGGCGUGGGGAUCAAACAGGAUUAGAUACCCCCAGUA